This 17870-nucleotide long non-coding RNA is filed under the name Lactuca sativa (garden lettuce). RNAcentral's name for it is "long non-coding RNA (LSAT_LNC002888)". The record is from RNAcentral. Lineage: Eukaryota; Viridiplantae; Streptophyta; Magnoliopsida; Asterales; Asteraceae.
GGUCAUCUCUGUUCUUCUCUUUGAUUUACUCCACCACCUCUUUCUACCUUCCGAUACCUUCUACAUCUAAUUCCUUCCACAACUUCCAUUUUCAUCUCCCAAAUUGAUUCGUCGUUUCCACUUUGUGUUCAGUGAAUGAAGUACCGAUGUUCCAUUUUCCAAGUUGAUUUCUUCUGCUUCAUCUCCAGUCUUUCUUCAUUUCUUUUUUUCUCCAUCUUCUGUGUUCGAUUAUUCUGUUGCCCUAUGACAUUGACAAUAGUUUCUUUUCCAUUUCUUCCUACGACUAUGGGAAGUCAUCUGCUUCACCAACAAAUCGACACCCAAAACAAUCCCGAUAACCCUCUGAAUUUCUCAAUAUGAUUUAAUUUUCGGGUAUUUGUUUUUGAAUCCCAGUUAUUUAUCUUUCUUGAUUCUAUAAACCAUAUAGGUGUGUAAAAUUAUAAACAACACGAUGAUUGCUUGAUUCCAAAAAUUGGGAUUUCUGGCUCAUGACUUCCGACUGUGGGCUUCUCAUCUUUAUCCAUGGAUUUUUGGUUCUCUAACUUGAGUGGGGCGUACUGCAGUCGUUGAUGAUGCCAAAGGUAAUUAAUCAAUUUUUUUUGCACUUUUUAUUCACGUAUUUUACAUGGAUUUGAUCUUUUACAUGGAUUAUCAAUUUGUUGCUCUUGCUUCUAUGUUUUAUUAAUCUUGUAUCUUUUUAUAGUUGCUCUACAUAUUCAAUUCAGGCUCUUUAUUUUUGUAUUCCAUUUCAUGACCAGCCUAAAAAUCCAACAAGAUUUAGAUAUAAUAAUGAGUUGUUUACUGAUAUGGAUGAAGUUCUGGCCGCUACCCACUAGGUAUUCGAUGAAAUGCCUAAGUCUCUUUUUCUGUGUUGUUAUCAUCGCUUUACCUGUGUUUUAUAUUAUUUUAUUGGAUAGAUUCAUUAGUGUUUUAAAUAUUUUUUUAUCUCAAAAAAAUAGUUUUUCAUUCUGUUAUAGUUAAUGUAGUUUUGGUUAUGUUAGUAGUGAUUGAAAUCAUGAUAGCUUAUGGAAAAUGUCUGUAGUUGAACUCACGAAAUUCAGAAGCGCUGUAUGAACCUUCAUGAAAAGGUAUUAAUUUUUGUAGCAUUAGUUUUUAUAUGAUUUUGGAGUUUUACCAUAUCAUUUUAUCAAUUCAUUUAUUAUUUUUCUAUUUUUGUGAAAAUUCAAGAAAAUGGCAGCCUUACACCUGCUUCCACUCUUUUACUUGGUUAUGAGCUGUAAGAGUUCAGUAGUUAAUUCAUCUUUUGUUAAAUAAGUACUCUGAAAAAGACAUCUCUACCCCUCUUUAAGAUUUCCUUGUACUUUUGAUAUUAUGUUUAUAAUGUCUUCAAAUUUAUUUUCGUUGUGUAGGUUGCAAUGUGGAACCAACCAUAUUGACUAUAUUUUGAAUGCCAUAAAUAUUUUUUUCAACAUACUUUUUUUUACUAUAUUUUGUAUCCACUAAACUACAUUUUGGACUAUAGUUGAUAACUAUCACAUUUUCUGCAGACAUUGGAUACUUGAUUGAAGAUUGAAAAGAACAUUUCAGGUUUCCACUUGCUUCUUCAUAUCUCUCAUUAUAUUUCACAAUAAUUAAUUCUAUAACAUAGUUACAUAAUCCAGUAUGUAAAAAGUAACAUGACCAAUGGCAUAUUUUGUUUUCAUCAUAGGUUUCUGGUUGCUGGAUCUUGCUAAUUAACACCAUUCAUGUAACAAUUUUUUAGUAUUUUCAUGUCUCUUCCACUCUUUUGUUCAUAGUAAAAUAAAUGUGCAUAACAGAUCUUUUUGACGUAUUUGUAGGAAGUGGAAGUGGAUAUGAUAAUCAAUAUUGUACGCCUACAAUCCGGACUAUAAUUUGCUUAUAAAAUUAAGGUAUGAUUCCUUUCUAUUUUUACUUUCAUUUAAUUCGAUGUCAUUUGUUUUUUAAGUGAUUUUAGGUCAUAGGCAAUGUUGUUUCAUUUGUUGUGUCUACCAAAGUACUGUUAUUUUCAAAAUAAAUAAAUAAAUAAAUAAAUAAACAACCCAUACCAUAACCUUAUAAAAAUUUGGAAUUAUUAUUGUUUUAUUCCAUAUGAUUCUGUUAUUAAAAAAAAUAAUUGUGUUUUUUUGGUGUUUAUCAACCACAUUGAUCUUGGAAACGCAAACUUCUCUAUUCAGUUGGUUUACAUCUUGGUCAACUUUCAAACCUACAUUACUUGGAAGUCAUUUAUUUUUGGUUACUAUGUUUUCUUUUUGAUGUAUUAUAGGUCAUAAAUUCAGAAAUAGCAACUACCUUUCAUUGAUUUUAUACUUCAUUUGGAAUUAUAAUUUUUGCUUAAUUUUAUACUUCAUUUGUACUCGGUUUCAAUAAUCUUUUUUGAUUUCUUUGAUUCUUUUUCAAUAAUAUGAUGUUUUAUGGUAUGUGGCGAAGUGCUUAUAUGUUCUUACUUCCCAUAAUAGCAACUUACUUCUAUUUUGUUACCAAUAAUAGCAAUAUGUAAAACGAAAUUUGUAAGAAUUUUACAAGUUUCAUGUUAUAUUUCUGUUAACGAUAAAAACAUGAAGUAUGUUGUUAUUUUUAAUUAUGCUUUCAUAUAAUCAUUUACUCAUUAGUAAUAUUAGACAAUGGAUAUAAUGACAUUCAGAUUAAAAUUUAUGUGGUUUGUUUUCGGGCUCCACAAUUGUUUGAUCUGCUACACAAUAUUUGGUAAGCUACCAAAAUGAAAAUAAUAUUUUCUUUUUUAAUUUUUGUUUUUUACUCUUUUAUGUUUUCUUUUGGGCCUAGUUUUGGAGGUAAUAUGUUUGAUUAAAGGGGCAACAACCCAUUAGGAGGGUUUUGAGUUUUUGAUGGCUAAUUUUGGGGAUUGGUGAUACUAGUCCAGGAGUGUGUUUCUGAGUUUAUCAACUUUAAAUUCCUUCCAUUCCACUUCUAUGAAUGGUAAAAUCCCUCAAACUUAGGAAUUGAAUGAAUUUUACAAAUUGAAUUCCGUCCAUCUGGCAAGUAAAAUGCAUUGGAACAGAAUCGAAAUUCCAAUUCUGUAGUUCUAUAAACUUUUUUGCACAACCUAAAUGAAUAUGACACUUUUUUUUUUCAGUCAAGUAACGACAGAAUGCUAAUCCUGCAUGUCAUAUAAUUAUUUGUAGGGGUUUAUAAUGUGAAAAGGUUUAAGUAACGAAAAAAGUAUGUUUUUUUGCUUUUAUGAAAAAAUUGUCCCUUCCUGUUUGUUGGUUUUCCUANNNNNNNNNNNNNNNNNNNNNNNNNNNNNNNNNNNNNNNNNNNNNNNNNNNNNNNNNNNNNNNNNNNNUAUAUAUAUAUAUAUAUAUAUUGUUAGAAGAAAAAGACAAAAGAAAGAAAGGGUAAUUUGGUUAUUUUAUAUAGAGCAGGGUCAUUUUAUAUAGAGCAAGGACCAAAACUACGAAUUCGACCAAACCUCAAUGACCAUUUCUGUAACGUACUCUAACCUUUAUAAACCUUCAAAAUAACAUAACUGGCCUAAAUAUUUUUCACUAUAACAUUCAGAUUUUUAUGGUACAUAGUUUCAAGAAUCAAUUCUAGAUUUUGGAAGGACUUACGACAUGAGAAAUGCCUCUCACGUCAUGAGAAAAGGUUAACUUGUUGACCCGCAUAUUUGGAGUCUCACGACGUGAGCCCUUGUUGCUCACGACAUGAGAGUAGCCUGAUUACCAAAACACUAAUUUUUCCGUAUUUAAUGGAAUGAGAGGGUUAGGGUUGCCCAUCCUCAGCCUCUCUCACUCUAUAAGCCUCCAGAAACCCUAAUUAGAUUGCUCCUUGAGUUCUUUAGCCAUUUUUGGCGCAUUUCUAGGUUUAAGAAGAAGAGAAGAAGAGGAAAUAAGUACUCUAGUGGUGGAGUGGGCAAAGUACCAUCAUCAUCUUUAUUUAUUCCUACUUUUGGGCCUUUGUAAGUAUUAAAUGUUCAAACUUUAUUUCAUAUUAUGGAUGGAUAUUGGGUUUUGUCCAUUUUAUUCAUGUUAUUGCAUGCUUGAGUGAAGGAAAUCCAUAAAGUUAGCAACUUUAUGGAUAUUAAAGGUUCCUUUAUCAUCAUAAUGUCCAGAUCUAGAAAUUAGAGGGGGUUUAAGAGCCAUGAAUGAGAGUUUGAUGCUUGUUUUUCCCACUUUUGACCUAGAAUGGAUUAGUUCAUUCAUGGUGUGUGCAUGACCAUAAAACAACCAUUUUUAUGGACCAUAUGUAUCCCUUUUAGCUGCUAGAUGAGUUGGGUGUAAUGGAUUAAUGGAUUAAGGACCUAAAACCUUGAUUUUUGGCUUCAAUUUGUGCUCACGACAUGAGACACAAGGUCUCACGACGUGAGAUUCGAAGGACCCGUUUCUGUGGAGUCAUCUGAGGCUCACGACGUGACCGAACACUGCUCAUUCAUGAGAUCAGUUCCAAUAACUUUUCAUGUAUGAGUUGCCCGAUUUGAGUUGCGAUGAGUUGGAAUCAGACUGAGUGGAAUCUCACGACGUGACCAAGGGCUGGUCACGACGUGAGACUUGAUGUUAUGAUUUUUGUCUGAUGGCUUUGAAUUUAUGGGUUAACUCUGCGUCCUAGUUGACUUAUGGUUGGGUCAUAUUCAUCAAAGGGUAAAAUGGUCAUUUACCCUAAGGUGAACAGGUUAAGGGCGCUUAAUUGUGGAAUUUCACCAUAAUUGCUAAUUAAGGAUAUUUUUGGUUAUAUUAGUGAGAGGAUGUUGAGAUUAAAAUUCUAAAGAUCGAAUAGAUUCAAACAGGAAAAAGCAAUCAAACACAGAAUAUGAAUCAAGAGUAUGUCGAAUGAUUAAAAGUCACAGCCUCAGAAGAGCUCGAUAAAGAAUUGCUACUAUAGAGGCUAUGUAAGGUUUACAAUGCAAAAAAACGAUUACAAGACACAGUGCAUGCAUGCACCUUAAAUAAUAAAACCCUAAUAAAUAAAGAACGGGUGGACAGGCCCAACCCAGAUACAAGCUUUACAAAACAUAAGGCCCAAAACGACGCAACACUUUAAGUUCUAACAAUCUCCCCCUUUACAUAGAUUGAGGUGAGAGUCUAUCAUUGUUGAGUUCGCUUCUGCACUUCAAAUACUUUCGAAAUCACGCUUAGCAGAGCCUUGCGAACUUGGAUAUACCGUUGAAUCAUAUCUGAAAAGCACUUCUUGUCGCUUUUGUUGUUCCCUUUGUAUUUGCUGACGAAGUACAAGAUAUACUCCACGCACAAAGUGGUGAACAAAUGUUUGUCGUUGAGGAAGAAACAAACUUUGUGAAAGUCUACAUUAGUUCUCUCUUUCAUUUGAAAGGCCACACACCAUCCUUCCUUUCGUAUCUUCCCUGGUUUCAUUUUAUCAAAACUUUUAGGGGCUGCUUUAGGGAGCACAGUUGGCUUCCUUUACAACACAACGACUACUUCGACAUCCAUUUUCCUAACUUCUUGAAUGUACGAAACUAGCAUUCGCUUUAGGUGACAAACAACAUGCUCGUACUUCUGUUCAUCCCUUAGCAGCAUGUUGUAUAGUAGGAUCCAAUCAUACGGGUUCAGGCAUGGAAGAUCAGCAAGAGUAAAUGCAUGCACCUGACUCGUUGAACCUCUAGUAACCCUAAAUUUUGCAUUGGGGAAGCUAUCAGUUUCAAUUGGACAAACAACCUUCACAGUCGUGAUCUUGUUCGCACUCUAUGUCUCGUACUGAGGCUUCAUGUGCUUUAGGUAGAAUGAGAAAAGUAAGUGAUCUGCACCGUAGUCUGUUGGAGGGACAUUCGUAACUUUGACAAAGCUGAGAAACUUGAAGGCUUUGGUGUGAAUGGAAGAUCCAGUUAUGAAUCUUGUGUAUUUUGAAGAUCAAAAGACACAAGUGGUUCCAACCAAUAUUGACUCGGCAUAUCCACAACUUCACUCAGGAUUCGCUUCAAAGUCCAUGCAAGAAACAAAAUCUUUCUCUUUCUAGCAUGACUUGAGCCUUGCGUUCAGCCUUUUCUUUCUCUUCGGCCUCAUGAACAAUUCUUUGGUGCUCAUCCAUUUUAGCUUCACAAUCUUUUCUUCUUUUAAGCUCAUGUUCAUCAGGCUCUUCUUCUUCACUGUCAUCAAUUAUUGGUUAUUCAUUGAUCGAUUUUUCUUUCCCUUUUGGUUAAUUUUCUUUCUUAGGCUUGACAAUGAGCUUGACUGUAGGUUUAGGGUUUUCCUUCUUGGAUUGUUUCACACCUUCUCCCCUUGUUUCAGAAUUGAGCUUGAUUCUGGAACACCUUCCAGUCAGUUGAGCAUAGCGAAUAUGGGCCUUAGCUUUUCAGACGGGUGCUUCUUGGCUGUGUUUUUGAUCAUCGAGUCAUGAGUCUCGAUGAUAUCCAAAAGCAGUGCAUUCAUGUCUGAGAUACAUCUUUUCAUAACAACAUUCUCAAAUAGGAGAUCGUUGAUUCAUGUUUCGGCUUGCUCAAGUUUGACAGUGGGUACCUUUACUUUCUUCGUCUUCACUAUGAGAGCAUCCAUAAUCUUACUCUCAGUGGCCAAGUCAUCCUGAAGCUGUGUAAUCUUUGAUGAAAUGGAGGAGUUGAGCUAGGCAUUGUCUGUUUGGAGGCCAGUACGAACCUCUUCGAGUUUCGCCUUCUCCGUUCUAAGUGUAGAUCCAAGGCUAGAAAUAACUUCGUUAGCCAUCGCAGUGUUGGACUCGAAUGAGCUCUGAAAUUUUCUCAUGAAAGAAUGAGCAUCUAUAAUUAGUUUAUCAACUUUUUCAGUCGUUUCUUGGCACACUGAAGCUGUAGCAUCCAAAUAUUUUUUUUUUCUUCUCAAGGUUAUCUGAGUGUUAUUUCAUGAGGGUCUCGAGGAAGGACUUGAUCAUUGUUUGAGAAUAGUCUUCACUGGAUGAUGCUUUAGAUGAUUGGAGCAACGAAUCCAGUUUCUCAUUGAUAGCCUUGAGUUGCCCUUUUGUGGUGGGAGCUUCGUCAUCACUUUUAGUCCGAAUAUUGAAGGGACUGUAGGUGAAUCCUCCAAAGUCCUAGUCAUCACCACCAUAAAUCAUGUCUGGAUCAUCCUGGCAGAAAGGAGAGAUGGGUGGAGUAGAAUGACCAACUGAGAAACCUGAAGCACCUGCCCCCGUAUCAGAUGUGUUGACAAUUAUUGGAGGUUCAACAGAUGAGGUAGUGAUGGUGGCACUGGAAUCUAUGAAGGUGAGGUUUGGACUUGCGAAACACCCAUUGACACCGGUGGGCAAAGGGCAAUCUUGAUAGGGGUUGAGAUAUUGGCAAUGGGUGAAGAGAUAGAAAAAUCAUGGAAAAUUCAUCUGUUAUUGGAGUGGAGGUAGGGAUCUCAAAAAUUACCUCAUGAUUCGUAGUUGAAGGCUCCGAAACCUUCGGUUGAGAUGUAGCGUCAUCUUCGUUGCAAACCUCUUGUUGAAUAGGAACCUCCAAAACCAUUUGCGAUUGCGAGUCCUCGUGGUCACUCGGAGUUGGAGAUCUUGGCUUACGAGCCACUUUCUUGAUCUUCUUGUUUUUAGGUGCUUGAGGAGGUUCGGAUGUACCAAAUUUCACAUCCCUCUUCUUUCCCCUUUUUUUGGGUUUGUCAACCUCUACGAGAAUCAGUUGGAAUUCGUCAAUCAAUGGGUGAAAGCCUGAGACUAGUAGACUGCGAUAGGCUCGCAGUACUUCGCUCGCAGUCGGAACCUCUCACAGCAUAACUUCAGAAAUGGAAUCGAUGAAGCUGAACUUAGAGUUAUCAGCAAGUAUGAUGUUCGUGGUGUGAAAGAUCUCGAUUGAAGCCAUACACGAACCUUCCAAAAUAGGGAUGUUGAGCUUGUUGAUCCCCCGUUGCACGACGAUGGUCCAGAAACGAGCAAAGGAGAUUUCAUUGUGUCCAAAGCAUCGAGCCAUAAUCCAAGUUGAUGUCGUAGUAGAUGCCAUACCUCAUGGUCAUAAAUAAUUUGCUCACACAGUCCGAGCCAGUAACCCUCUCCGAAAAGCUCUUGAACAGAAGGUAAAGAGGCCGUUCCACAUUGGCAACAAGUGGGGUUUCUUGAACUUUGAAACAACGGCCAACACUUCCUUGUAGCCUAUCUGGUAGAACAUCUCCAGAAUUGUUGAGUUAGAGACGCUCUCAGGGUCAGUUAGGUCACGGCCCUGUGGAUGCCCUAAGAGGUUACAGAACCUCGAUUUGGUUGUUUGGGUUUUAUGGUCUUGGAUUUCGAACGUGAUUAGCUCCUCUCCCUUUUGGUAACUGGCUGUGGAGUAGGCUUUGGAGAGAUGCACCAACAGAACAAUUUUUGACUUGGUAAGAGCAAUGACCAGUUGAGAAUACCUCAAACAUUCGACAAUGGGUUGAAGAAACCCGUCGUAUUUGACCGGAUCAAGGUCGAGUAUCAUGUUUUGGUUUGCCUUUAUGUUGAGAAUCGAACACUACAUUGAUUUUUCUUGGACGGAAGGGGUUUCUGAAGAACCUAUCAUUGAUGCUUGUUGAAGGAGAUGAACAGUAGAGAGAAUAAUUGCCGAAGGAUUUUGUUUGUUUUUUGAAAGUGGUAAUUAAGUAAUGAAGCAUUAAAAUCCUUUUAUACGGUCUAGGAGGUGAGAGAAAUUUGUCGAUUUGUUGCAUCGGUUACUGAAAAGUCGCCUAAAAAGGUGUGACUGACAGAGGUUACGUCAGGCGUGUGUGUCAGACGGCGGUAAAGUAGGCAUCAAGUCAGGAGCCGUUUCAAAUUCCACGCACCCAAAUUUCAAAUCUUAUCUUUUAGAAUCGUCCUUUCAGAUUCUAACUUUCGCAACCGCAUACAUUCGCAAUUGAUCACCAUUGAUAGUACUCCGAACCUGAAAGUAACCAAUAGGAUGACGAACCAGAAUUUUGAAAAUCAUAAAGAUCUUCUUGCAAGAGUGUGCCAAAGAUAAAGAAAUAAAGCGAGUUUUCUUAGGGAUUCUAGUGAUGUCAUUUAAGACAUAAAACAGAUGGACCUCGGGCAACGGUGUCACACCCCCAAACCAAGGAUGGCGGAAACGUCUGGGGGUGGAAGACUUCAUGUACAGUAUCACAACAACGUGUAUAAUAGUGCUCAAAGUAAAUACAACCAUCAUAAAUAUAAUUGAAAAAGUUACACCAAAGUAUAUGUUUACAUGUUUCAAAAUCAAUUACAUUAUGAUGACAAAAAUAAAUUGUUGAAGGUUUAAUGUCCCAUCCUCAAGGCGCUGAAGUUUUCCUGUUUCACUGAUUUCCUGAGAAUACAAGUAGUUUUGAAAAAGUGUCAACAAUUAAGUUGGUGAGUUCAUAAGAGUUUUGUUUGAAGUAGAAACCGUUUUCCUUGUAAAAUCGAUAGAGUUUGAUUUCCAAAAAAUCCAAUAUUUUCUUAAUGAAGUAUGAAUAGAACAUUCCUAUAUGAUGCGUUAAUGAACCCUAGAAUGACCCGUAGACUUCUCCUAUAAUCGUCCAGCGCAUAUAAGUUAUAUAAGAUUUAAGUUGAUAAAACGUUGAAUAUAGUGGGUUUGCCCUAGGUCCACAACCAAACGAGGAACAGGAGAUGAGGCGGGCCCACCAAUUCUAAGUCAAUCGAGACUAAAUUCUUAUACGACUCAUGCAUAUACGCUCAGCGAUUAUAGUUGAAGUCUAACAAUUCUGGAUGAAAAAUAUGGUUUUAAUAUCAUAAUAACUAUUUUACGUAAACCUGGUACUUUGGAAUGUACCCCAUUUAUAUGAAGACCCGGUACUUUUCCUCAAAAUGUGAAAUGUAAGUUUCUAUGUUAUGAAAUAGUGCAUCCUAGAAUUCCCUAUAGAUUCCUUCUAUAAUUUCCUUGUGUAUAUAAGUUAUAUAAAAUUAAAGUUAGAUAAAACGUCGAAUGUAAUGGGUCUGCCCUAGGCCCACAACCAAACGAGGAACAGGAAAUAAGGCGGAACCACCAAUUCUAAGCCAAUCACGACUAGAUUCUAUAUAACUCUAGCAUAUACACUUAGAAAUUAUAGCCGAAAACUAACAAUGCGAAAGUGAAUGUGGACUUAAACCCAAAAACCGGAACCAAUCCUAGUGUAGUGUACGAAAUAGUAAUAGUGACUGUGAACAUAAACUAUACAUAUCAUAGUUCAUCGGAUAGUGAUAGUGACUACUGAACAUGUACUAUGCAUAUUAUAGUUUACCAAAAGUGGUGGUGAUGGUGAAUAUAACCUAUACAUAUCAUAGUUCAUAAAAUAGAGAUAGUGGUAGUGAGCAUGAACUAUGCAUAUUAUAGCUUAUCAAAAGUAGUGGUGAUGGUGAAUAUAACCUAUACAUAUCAUAGUUCAUCACUUUGUUUGUAAUGUAUAUAUGUCAUAACUAUACCGAUUAUAAUUAGCGUGUUCGUUUGUGGGGGGUAUAAUGGCUUAACUAUACUUAUUAUAGUUUAUCAUAAUUAUUCAUAGUCGUAGUAACUCUUUUGUAUGUGUAAUACCUUUAAUAAUGUGUUUGUUAUGUAAAAGAACCCUAAACUAUACCUAUUAUAGUUUAUCAAUUAUUUUUUUGGGUAGUGAGCAUAAGCCUUACUUGUCAUAGUUUACCAAUGUUUGUAUUUUAAUGGAUAUAGCAUUGUAAUAUCUUUUAUGUAUUUACCAUACUUAUGGAGGUAAGAAUCCAUUUGUUUUCUGAUGUAUGUCUAUAUAAUAAGACAAGACGACACAUAUGGUAAUAACAUAUCUUCACAUGAAGGUACACACCUUUGCUCAACAAGUUACAAGGUGUAUAUGAAAUUGAAAACAUUUUUCUAGUAUUGCCAUUUCUAUUCUGUUUUUAGAAAAUUCAUAGAAAAAUAACUAAAGGUGCAAAUCAGAAUCCAUAAAUUCUGAGAGUUUGGAAAAUGAGUCUAGUUUGUUCAUAAUUUUUAUCAUGAUUUUUGGAAGCCUUUAACUUGUAUUAAAAUGCUCAAAUUCACAGACUGGUCCGGAUUGAUGUUUGAAAUGAUAGGUAGUUUUGUAAAAAUCACCAUAAAUUGUAGAAAAAUCGUAUGGAGAUGUGCAAGUAGUCAUUUUAAAGCUAAGAAGUGGAACUACUUGCACCUAAAACAGUUUUGAAAACUAAAAUGUUUAAGUUGUCCAAAAGAGUCUGUGAAUGGGGUUGAACUUUUCUGAUGAAGGCUGUUAGAAAAGUUUAGUUAUGUUCUUGGUGUUUUAACUUGUAUUCCCCCCCUAAAAACUUGAGAAAACAUGAAAAUGUAGGGGUAUGAACUCACCUUNNNNNNNNNNNNNNNNNNNNNNNNNNNNNNNNNNNNNNNNNNNNNNNNNNNNNNNNNNNNNNNNNNNNNNNNNNNNNNNNNNNNNNNNNNNNNNNNNNNNNNNNNNNNNNNNNNNNNNNNNNNNNNNNNNNNNNNNNNNNNNNNNNNNNNNNNNNNNNNNNNNNNNNNNNNNNNNNNNNNNNNNNNNNNNNNNNNNNNNNNNNNNNNNNNNNNNNNNNNNNNNNNNNNNNNNNNNNNNNNNNNNNNNNNNNNNNNNNNNNNNNNNNNNNNNNNNNNNNNNNNNNNNNNNNNNNNNNNNNNNNNNNNNNNNNNNNNNNNNNNNNNNNNNNNNNNNNNNNNNNNNNNNNNNNNNNNNNNNNNNNNNNNNNNNNNNNNNNNNNNNNNNNNNNNNNNNNNNNNNNNNNNNNNNNNNNNNNNNNNNNNNNNNNNNNNNNNNNNNNNNNNNNNNNNNNNNNNNNNNNNNNNNNNNNNNNNNNNNNNNNNNNNNNNNNNNNNNNNNNNNNNNNNNNNNNNNNNNNNNNNNNNNNNNNNNNNNNNNNNNNNNNNNNNNNNNNNNNNNNNNNNNNNNNNNNNNNNNNNNNNNNNNNNNNNNNNNNNNNNNNNNNNNNNNNNNNNNNNNNNNNNNNNNNNNNNNNNNNNNNNNNNNNNNNNNNNNNNNNNNNNNNNNNNNNNNNNNNNNNNNNNNNNNNNNNNNNNNNNNNNNNNNNNNNNNNNNNNNNNNNNNNNNNNNNNNNNNNNNNNNNNNNNNNNNNNNNNNNNNNNNNNNNNNNNNNNNNNNNNNNNNNNNNNNNNNNNNNNNUUUCGGGUCCUAAGAGGACUUUCGGGUCCUAAGAGGGGUUUCGGCUCCUUAAGUCCGUUUUUCGCGUAGACUUCCGUUUUUUGGCUGUUUUCGCCAAAUUCGAGGGUCGGGAUGCCCCGAGUGAUUAUAGAAAGUUGAGAGAGAUUUUGAGAGAGAUUUGGGAGAGAUUUGUCAUACUUGGAGAGAUUUGGCAUACUUAGAGAGAUUUGGGAGAGAUUUGACAUACUUGGAGAGAUUUCUCAUACAAGGAGAUAUUUGGGAGAGAUUUCACAUACUUAGAGAGAUUUGGGAGAGAUUUGACAUUCUUGGAAAGAUUUCUCAUACAAGGAGAUAUUUGGGAGAGAUUUCACAUACUUAGAGAGAUUUGGGAGAGAUUUGACAUUCUUGGAGAGAUUUCUCAUACAAGGAGAUAUUUGGGAGAGAUUUCACAUACUUAGAGAGAUUUGACAUUCUUGGAGAGAUUUCUCAUACAAGGAGAUAUUUGGGAGAGAUUUCACAUACUUAGAGAGAUUUAGGAGAGAUUUCACAUACUUGGAGAGAUUUGGGAGAGAUUUCAAAUAGAGAGAGAUAGAGUGAAAACGAUUGAGAGAGGUUUCAUUUGUGACCUUUUUGAGUGUCUGGCUUCGCAAUGCAAGGUUCGUAAACCCCGUUAAGCGUUGUUUAAGGAUCUUACACACUCCCGAUGAGUAUGCAACAUUGUUUUAUCGGUUUGGCUCGCCACGUUCCACAAUUUUAAGUUAAGAAGAUCUAGAUGUACGCACUUUUCGAUUUAUGAUCUCCCAUUAGAAUAGCGAGUUGUUUAGUAAUCAUACAACGUAAGCCCUAGUACACAAGGGUUAGUUGAGUUGACCGGUUUGACUUGUUGACUUAAGUUGACUUUGACUUGACCGAAAAUUUGACGGUUGUCACAAACGGUCUUUUCCUUCCCACUCAAGAGAGACUUUGAAGUGCUUUUGUGGUGUCUCGUUGAAUUACGAUCAUUUGUUUGUAGAGAAACAGUGAAAGGCUUCUUUUAAUAAGGCAAAUUUGGUGGCUUCUUCUUCAACUAAAUCCAAAACUCAACAUAGGUCUGAACGUUCGUAUGAAGUACUUGUUUGACCAGUGUAGCCAUAAAAACAAGUAUCCUUGGGAAUAAUUUUCAAUGACUAGGAUAAAUAUAGAAAUCUCAAGAAAAAUAAAACUGGAUCUAUUGGCAAAACCGUCUUAGGACUAGAACAUUUCAUGAAGAUCUCACAAAAAGAAAAAUAAAUUUCUUGGUACAGACCACGAAAGUGGACAUUCGUUAAUUCCUUGGUGAAAAAUCUAGAACAUGUAAUUGUUCACUGUCAAUUCGUAAGUAUGUGUUGAAUUUUGGGUUUCACUCAAUUUGUGGUAAUAAGAAAUUUAAGAUCAUAAACACAGAAGUUGUGUAACCAUAAACCUCAGUGGUAAUUUCUGAGAGUCUCAAGGGUUACGUUCAUGAAUGCGAAAGUGAUGGAGAAGUAGUAGGAGGUGGUUCCAAAGAAAUAGUGCACCUCUACUAUGCGAAAGUGACUAAGCAGCAAACUCUUAACUCAAAGCGGGAUGAGUAAGGUAGUUCACGACUUAUGUGAAUAAACAGCCUAAUUGGGAAGAAACUAUUAGUGUUAUCGAUUCAUUAAGGCUUCAACAUAGAGUCUUUGAGGCUUUGGACUACAUGUAACAACAUGCUUCUAGGGACACUUAACUGGUUCAUAGAUUAAGAAUUUUAUAUCUACCCCAUCAUUUGUAAUUGAGAUCACCAAGAUAUGGAUCUUCAAACCUGCUCAAUUAUCUAAUAUUUUUGAUAUUUUUUGAUUAUUUUAUGAAAAGAAAUAAGAACAAAAAUGAAGAAAAUAUUUUUGUAUUUUUGAAUUUCUGAAAAAUGAAUAAAAACGUAAACAAAUAAAAUAUUUUUGGAUUUUGUUUUUUCUGAAAAAGAAACAGAAACAAAUAAUUAACAAAGUGUACAAAGGAUACAUGAAGUUCUGAACCUUCGAAUGAACAGUGGAUUGCGAGUCACUACGACCAUUCGCACCAAUUCACAGUAUGAAAAGUAGACUGCAAGUCACUACGAGCGUUCGCACCAAUUCGCAGUUAAAACAUUACGAAUGUGAAGGUUGUUUCGGAACAGAUUCAACCUUUAUCAUUCCUAGGCCUUGAAUAAUGUGAUUGAAGGUUUGCUCAGGCAAGGCUUUCGUGAAGAUGCCGGCCAAUUGAUCAGUGGAUCUAACAAAAUGUAUUUCUACAUGACCAUUUUCCACAUGAUCUUUGAUAAAGUGAUACCUCAAUGCUAUGUGUUUUGUCUUUGAAUGUUGCACUGGGUUGUGACAAAUACGAAUGGCGCUCUCAUAAUCGCAAUAUAAGGUGAUUCGCUUCAUGUUGAUACCAUAGUCGCGAAGCUGACUUUGAAUCCAUAUUACUUGUGAAGUACAAGAGGCAGCGGCUAUGUACUCUGCUUCAGCAAUUGACAGGGAGAUGCAAGUUUGCUUCUUCAAUUGACAACUUACGAGUUUGUCAUCAAGAAAUUAGCAUCCUCUCGUUGUACUCUUUCUAUCUAAACUGCAACCUCCAAGAUCAGCAUCCGAAAACACUUGCACAAAGAAACCCGAAUUUGAAGGGUACCAUAUUCCAAGUGAGGAUGUUCGCUUGAGAUAUCUGAAGAUAUUCUUAACCGCGGUCAUGUGAGGUUCAGUAGGAUUCGCUUGAAAUCUGGCACAAUAGCAGACAGAAAACAUGAUAUCUGGACGAGUAGCAGUCAGAUACAUCAAUAAACUUAUCAUUUGAUGAUAGAGAGUCAUAUCAGUAGCUGGCUUGUCCAGAGAUGGGUUUCGUUUCGUUUCGAAUGCCAAUGGAACCUCACCUAUGAAUCUCCCACCAUUCCAAACUUGGAGAGUAAGGUCUUUGUAUAAGCCUCCUAAUUGAUAAAGAUAUCUUAUUGACUCUAUCUUAUAUUCAAGCCAAGGAAAACGUUAAUCGGACCCAUGGAGCGAAUCUCAAAUUUAGUUUCCAUCAACUUUCGGAACUCAACUGUUAAGCUGGGUUUAUAUGACCCGAAGAUGAUUUCAUCAACGUAAAUUUGGACGAUCAUCAAGUGGUCACCAUCUUUCUUGUGAAAGAAGGUUGGGUCGACCGAUCCCUGUUUAAAUUUAGCCUUUUUUUUAAAACGAGUUAGAGUUUCGUACCAGGCUCUCGGAGCUUGCUUUAGACCAUAAACUACCUUGUCCAGAAUGUAACAGUGGUUCAGACACUUUUCGUUUAUGAACCAUGGUGGUUGUUCCACAUACACUGUUUCUUCUAGUUCCUCAUUCAGAAAUGCACACUUGACAUCCAUAUGAUAUACUUCAAAAUUCUUGUGUGACAACCCGAUAUUUCAAAUCUUUGUAAUGACCUAAAAAGUUAAGUAUUGUAACCACUUUUGAAUUAAUAAAAUUAACUUUGAUAAUAAAAUGUCCAAAAAGUUCUAUUUUAAUUCCCUCUAUGUUUAAAUGCAUUAAACCGGGAUCUUACGUAAAAAGAACGCCCAAAUCCGACUUCGUAUAUUGAAGUUAAGAUUUUUCCAAGUUCGACUUAGCAACAGACAGCUAAAAACUCGAAUCGGAGAUCGAGCGACUUUUGGCCGGAAUGACCUAAACGAGAAUCGAAGGUCUCGACAAUGGUAUUUCAGCGGUGAAAAGUCUGGCAAAAACCGACGUCAGAUAAAUAAGUUAUGAAUUUUUCAAGAAAUUCCUUAAUCACGUCAUUUUAUAAUUAAAUAAUAAAAAUAAUUUCGGAAUUUGCCAACGGAGUCUAAACGAAAGUUGUAGAGCGUAGUCUCACCUUCGCGUGGAUAUAAAGACCAUCGAAAACGGAGUUCGUAUGAAGGAGAUAUGAUUUUUUGAAGUUUAUUAAAUAAUUUAUAUAUAUACUUAAAUGAAAAAUCCGGUAAUAUCCGAAGGAAGAGUCAGCGUCCUCAUCCGAGUUACGCGCUGCGUAACCCCGUACGCCUCGCGUACUCGAAGGCCUUGGUCUCGGUCCGUCCACGUCGCCCCUAUGCGAAGCUAUCGACCCGUCCCGUCCCAUCCGACCCGAUCCGUCCCAUCCGAAGCCGAGGCAGUCGAGGACUCGGUCAUGCAUGACGUACGAGUACGCGCUGCGUACGAGCGUAUGCCCCGCGUACCGAGGCUUCUCAGACCCCCUAUAAAUAGAAAUGCGAGGGUUCCGGAAAAAUCACCCCUUUUCUCUCAUUUCUCUCACGAUCUUGCCUCGUUUUCCGUGCUCGCACUACCCCGAAGCUCUGGUCUUUUUGCUCAACUCCCGAAGGUCGAUUUUACUCCCGAGAUUCCCGAGAAUCCCGAGAAAAAUCCGUUUCCCGAGACGAAACUCUGCCCGGUUUUCCAUCUCGCUAUCUUCAAACUUUCAAGUGAGUUCAUACCCCUUAAUUAACCCUUUUUAAUUAUUCUAAAUGCUUUUAUAUGCUUUCUAAGGGGGNAGAUUUCACAUGCUACAAAAUGUGAUGCAUGAAAUGGUUUUACAUCUUAAAAACACAUUGUUACCAAAUGUUUUACCUUUGAAAUGUUUAUUAAAAUGACAUCAAGUCAUUGUUAAUUAUUGUUCAAAACCCAUAAGAUGUCUUACAAAACCAUUUUACAUUCUUGAACUAAACUAUGCAUAUACACUUAUAUUCUUAUAUAUGUAUUGAUGUUAUAGUUUACAUCUUUCAUUUAGUUUCCCACACCCUUGAGUAGUAAGAGUGUAUAAACCUACAUGAUCAACCAGUUAUAUUACAGUAAAUUAUCAUAGGGAUAAUUUGAAGAUAUCAAACAUUACUUCUAUUACAAGGAAUCACACAAGAGUCAGUUCAUUCAUGAGUCUAUACUAGUACAUUACCUGAUACAUGAGUACUUACAGAUGUUUACCUGAUACAUGAAUAUGUUUACAUAUACUUACCUGUUACAUGGACACACAUACAUGAAUACCAUACAGGAACACUUUUACAUAGGUGCAUUAUCCUGUAUUCACUUACCUGGAUACUUGUACUUAGAACUACGAGGAUGAUUUAUUAGUACUUACUGUGUAAAUUGUCUUUCCUAUCUCGGUUCAAUGGGAUAGCUAGGCGGGACUUACCAUUCCGAACCCCACUGAUUAGCACCAGUGGUCGAUGACCAUCUACGGAGGUCUAAGGUUACUACUUAUAUUAGGUAGAUCGAUUGGGACUAACCCUUCCACCCACCUGCUGCUGCUACAGAGGACAAUUGGACAAUCUUCGGAUGUUCAUUAGGUUAUACCUUUCGCUUAUUGCGAUGAUUGUGUUACUCCUAGUACCCAGCGAUGACACUUACAUUAAUACUUGUUUUGGACAAUCUUCGGAUGUUCAUUAGGUUACAUAUUUCGCUUAAUGCGAUGUUGUGUUAGUCCUAGUACCCAGUGACAACACUUACAGUAGUACAUUUUUCCUGUUUACUUUAUUUUGUGAUACAUUCACAUAAUCGAUGAGUUAGACUAAGCACUUAUAGUACUAGUCAAUACUAAGGGAAAACUUCAUACUUACAAAACAUUUGGGGUCUUGGUAGAAGACUACACUUCAUACUUACAAAACAUUCGGGUCUUGGUAGAAGACUACAAUUCAUACGUACAGAACAUUCGGGUCUUGGUAGAAGACUACAUUUCAUACUUAUAGAAAAUAAGGGUUUUUCUAGGGAUUUCAUACUUACCUCAACAUUUUCAUUUAAAGGUUUACAUGGCUUUCAAAACAGAUAUUCAAACAAACAAAACAAUGACACUUAUAUACUUAUGAAUUCACCAGCUUUAAAGUUGAUACUCACUUUCAAAAUAACUUGUAUUCUCAGGUCAUCAGUAGACAGGUACGGAGGCCAGGUUUUGAGAAGACGGAGCAGACAAGUCUCGUCUUUUAUUUUGGUUGUAUAUUUUGGUGUCUUAUUACAAUGAAAGAACACACAUGUAUUAAAC